RNAcentral lists this ribosomal RNA (253 nucleotides) under uncultured bacterium. RNAcentral's name for it is "partial 16S ribosomal RNA". It matches the Rfam family "Bacterial small subunit ribosomal RNA", at positions 524 to 776 of the family's 1533-position model. The record is from RNAcentral.
UACGGAGGGUGCAAGCGUUAUCCGGAUUCACUGGGUUUAAAGGGUGCGUAGGAGGGCAGGUAAGUCAGUGGUGAAAUCUCCGAGCUUAACUUGGAAACUGCCGUUGAUAUUAUCUGUCUUGAAUAUUGUGGAGGUGAGCGGAAUAUGUCAUGUAGCGGUGAAAUGCUUAGAUAUGACAUAGAACACCAAUUGCGAAGGCAGCUCGCUACACAUAUAUUGACUCUGAGGCACGAAAGCGUGGGGAUCAAACAGG